This 802-nucleotide ribosomal RNA is filed under the name Staphylococcus aureus. RNAcentral's name for it is "partial 23S ribosomal RNA". It matches the Rfam family "Bacterial large subunit ribosomal RNA", at positions 655 to 1461 of the family's 2925-position model. Lineage: Bacteria; Bacillati; Bacillota; Bacilli; Caryophanales; Staphylococcaceae. The record is from RNAcentral.
UAAAUGUGGAGCCGUAGCGGAAGCGAGUCUGAAUAGGGCGUUUAGUAUUUGGUCGUAGACCCGAAACCAGGUGAUCUACCCUUGGUCAGGUUGAAGUUCAGGUAACACUGAAUGGAGGACCGAACCGACUUACGUUGAAAAGUGAGCGGAUGAACUGAGGGUAGCGGAGAAAUUCCAAUCGAACCUGGAGAUAGCUGGUUCUCUCCGAAAUAGCUUUAGGGCUAGCCUCAAGUGAUGAUUAUUGGAGGUAGAGCACUGUUUGGACGAGGGGCCCCUCUCGGGUUACCGAAUUCAGACAAACUCCGAAUGCCAAUUAAUUUAACUUGGGAGUCAGAACAUGGGUGAUAAGGUCCGUGUUCGAAAGGGAAACAGCCCAGACCACCAGCUAAGGUCCCAAAAUAUAUGUUAAGUGGAAAAGGAUGUGGCGUUGCCCAGACAACUAGGAUGUUGGCUUAGAAGCAGCCAUCAUUUAAAGAGUGCGUAAUAGCUCACUAGUCGAGUGACACUGCGCCGAAAAUGUACCGGGGCUAAACAUAUUACCGAAGCUGUGGAUUGUCCUUUGGACAAUGGUAGGAGAGCGUUCUAAGGGCGUUGAAGCAUGAUCGUAAGGACAUGUGGAGCGCUUAGAAGUGAGAAUGCCGGUGUGAGUAGCGAAAGACGGGUGAGAAUCCCGUCCACCGAUUGACUAAGGUUUCCAGAGGAAGGCUCGUCCGCUCUGGGUUAGUCGGGUCCUAAGCUGAGGCCGACAGGCGUAGGCGAUGGAUAACAGGUUGAUAUUCCUGUACCACCUAUAAUCGUUUUA